This 1060-nucleotide ribosomal RNA is filed under the name uncultured Ornithinicoccus sp. RNAcentral's name for it is "bacterial SSU rRNA". It matches the Rfam family "Bacterial small subunit ribosomal RNA", at positions 337 to 1396 of the family's 1533-position model. The record is from RNAcentral. Lineage: Bacteria; Bacillati; Actinomycetota; Actinomycetes; Micrococcales; Intrasporangiaceae.
UCCUACGGGAGGCAGCAGUGGGGAAUAUUGCACGAUGGGCGAAAGCCUGAUGCAGCGACGCCGCGUGAGGGAUGAAGGCCUUCGGGUUGUAAACCUCUUUCAGCAGGGAAGAGGCAGCCGGGUUUUCUUGGUUGUGACGGUACCUGCGGAAGAAGCACCGGCUAACUACGUGCCAGCAGCCGCGGUAAUACGUAGGGUGCAAGCGUUGUCCGGAAUUAUUGGGCGUAAAGAGCUUGUAGGUGGUUUGUCGCGUCUGUUGUGAAAUUUCGGGGCUCAACCCCGAACUUGCAGUGGAUACGGGCAGACUAGAGUGUGGUAGGGGAGACUGGAAUUCCUGGUGUAGCGGUGAAAUGCGCAGAUAUCAGGAGGAACACCGAUGGCGAAGGCAGGUCUCUGGGCCAUUACUGACACUGAGAAGCGAAAGCAUGGGGAGCGAACAGGAUUAGAUACCCUGGUAGUCCAUGCCGUAAACGGUGGGAACUAGGUGUGGGCCUCAUUCCACGAGGUCCGUGCCGCAGCUAACGCAUUAAGUUCCCCGCCUGGGGAGUACGGCCGCAAGGCUAAAACUCAAAGGAAUUGACGGGGGCCCGCACAAGCGGCGGAGCAUGCGGAUUAAUUCGAUGCAACGCGAAGAACCUUACCAAGGCUUGACAUGUGCCGGUAAAGUGCAGAGAUGUGCUCCCCGCAAGGUCGGUACACAGGUGGUGCAUGGUUGUCGUCAGCUCGUGUCGUGAGAUGUUGGGUUAAGUCCCGCAACGAGCGCAACCCUCGUUCUAUGUUGCCAGCGGGUUAUGCCGGGGACUCAUGGGAGACUGCCGGGGUCAACUCGGAGGAAGGUGGGGAUGACGUCAAAUCAUCAUGCCCCUUAUGUCCAGGGCUGCAAACACGCUACAAUGGCCGGUACAAAGGGCUGCAAACUCGUGAGGGUGAGCGAAUCCCAUAAAGCCGGUCUCAGUUCGGAUUGUAGGCUGCAACUCGCCUGCAUGAAGCUGGAGUUGCUAGUAAUCCCGGAUCAGCACGCCGGGGUGAAUACGUUCCCGGGCCUUGUACACACCGCCAU